Molecule: ribosomal RNA, 501 nt
Filed under: uncultured bacterium
Lineage: Bacteria
Description: partial 16S ribosomal RNA
Rfam family: Bacterial small subunit ribosomal RNA
Source: RNAcentral
AUUGAACGCUGGCGGCAGGCUUAACACAUGCAAGUCGAGCGGAGAGAGGUAGCUUGCUACUGAUCUUAGCGGCGGACGGGUGAGUAAUGCUUAGGAAUCUGCCUAUUAGUGGGGGACAACAUUUCGAAAGGAAUGCUAAUACCGCAUACGUACUACGAGAGAAAGCAGGGGAUCUUCGGACCUUGCGCUAAUAGAUGAGGCUAGGUCGGAUUAGGUAGUUGGUGGGGUAAAGGCCUACCAAGGCGACGAUCUGUAGCGGGUCUGAGAGGAUGGUCCGCCACAAUGGGACUGAGACACGGCCCAGACUCCUACGGGAGGCAGCAGUGGGGAAUAUUGGACAAUGGGCGGAAGCCUGAUCCAGCCAUGCCGCGUGUGUGAAGAAGGCCUUAUGGUUGUAAAGCACUUUAAGCGAGGAGGAGGCUACUUUAGUUAAUACCUAGAGAUAGUGGACGUUACUCGCAGAAUAAGCACCGGCUAACUCUGUGCCAGCAGCCGCCGUAA